RNAcentral lists this ribosomal RNA (253 nucleotides) under uncultured bacterium. RNAcentral describes it as "partial 16S ribosomal RNA". It matches the Rfam family "Bacterial small subunit ribosomal RNA", at positions 524 to 776 of the family's 1533-position model. The record is from RNAcentral.
UACGUAGGUGGCAAGCGUUAUCCGAAUUUACUGGGUGUAAAGGGCGUGUAGGCGGGAGAGCAAGUCAGACGUGAAAUUCCAGGGCUCAACCCUGGAACUGCGUUUGAAACUGUUCUUCUUGAGUGAUGGAGAGGCAGGCGGAAUUCCGUGUGUAGCGGUGAAAUGCGUAGAUAUACGGAGGAACACCAGUGGCGAAGGCGGCCUGCUGGACAUUAACUGACGCUGAGGCGCGAAAGCGUGGGGAGCAAACAGG